RNAcentral lists this long non-coding RNA (243 nucleotides) under Mytilus galloprovincialis (Mediterranean mussel). The record is from RNAcentral. Lineage: Eukaryota; Metazoa; Mollusca; Bivalvia; Mytilida; Mytilidae.
AUCUUGAACAUACCCUUUGUACAUAAAUUUUAGAUUUUAUAGACUUUUAGAAAUAAAUCACAUAGACGCAACCAAAAUAUGUUUCACUAUGUGGUCAUGAUGCAAGUCAGUUGUUAUACCGUUGAUAGGCAUUUAGAUUCACGUAUAUCAUUGAAGAUUGUGAACAUUAUUUUUUGACAUGCAAAUUUCUGAAAUCAUUUUGGGAUCAAAUAAAACUAUUACUUAAUAAACUUAAAAUAGGAC